Molecule: small RNA, 168 nt
Filed under: Bacillus glycinifermentans
Lineage: Bacteria; Bacillati; Bacillota; Bacilli; Caryophanales; Bacillaceae
Description: Manganese sequence
Rfam family: Manganese Mn2+ riboswitch aptamer (yybP-ykoY)
About the family: This RNA was originally discovered in E. coli during a large scale screen and was named SraF. The family was later found to exist upstream of related families of protein genes in many bacteria, including the the yybP and ykoK genes in B. subtilis.
Source: RNAcentral
UUUUUUCCCAAAGGGGAGUAGCGUCCGGAUGUAAACCGGAAACAAAGUCGUCAGUUCAUGGAUGUGCAUCCAUCGGCUUUGUUGGCAUGUUUUAAUCAAUGACCAUGUCUAGCAAGACCUUUGCCUAAUGUUGGCAGAGGUCUUUUUUGUUUGCCGAAAUACCCUGCC